Molecule: ribosomal RNA, 671 nt
Filed under: unidentified archaeon
Lineage: Archaea
Description: partial 16S ribosomal RNA
Source: RNAcentral
GAGACGCCUUCGCCACUGGUGGUCUUUCAAGGAUUACAAGAUUUCACCCCCUACCCCUGAAGUACCUCUCACCUCUCCCGGCCUCGAGCCAGACAGUAUCUCCUGAAAGCCUGACAGUUAAGCUGCCAGAUUUCUCAAGAGACUUAUCCGGCCGGCUACAGACCCUUUAGACCCAAUAAUAACGGUUACCACUCGAGCCGCCGGUGUUACCGCGGCGGCUGGCACCGGUCUUGCCCGGCCCUUGCUAUGAAAUGCUUUUUAGGCAUCUCGACAGCCAGAUUUGUAACCUGGCACUCGAGGUUCCCUUAUCGCUGUUGCCAGCAUUGUAAAGUUUUCGCGCCUGCUGCACCCCGUAGGGCCUGGAUUCGUGUCUCAGAAUCCAUCUCCGGGCUCUUGCUCUCACAACCCGUACCCGUCGUAGGCUAGUAGGUACACUACACCCACUACUACCUGAUGGGCCGCAGACCCAUCCUUAGGCGCCGGAGCUUUUAAUCUCGAUGCAUUCCAGCAGCCGAGACCUAUCGGGGAUUAUACCCAGUUUCCCGGGUUUAUACCCGACCUAAGGGCAGGUUGUCCACGUGUUACUGAGCAGUACGCCAUGUAUUGCUACAUUCGACUCGCAUGGCUUAGUCGAACCUCGAUAGCAGUAACCUCUGGCAGGAUCAACCGGA